This is a non-coding RNA of Saimiri boliviensis boliviensis (Bolivian squirrel monkey), 957 nucleotides long. NCBI's taxonomy places the organism in Eukaryota, Metazoa, Chordata, Mammalia, Primates, Cebidae. The record is from RefSeq and is a predicted model, not a curated record.
UGCAUUAAAUGACAGUUUGAUAAACUCUUAUAUAAGCCUUACACCUCCACAUAGUAGGGAUUUAUUUUAAGAUGUUAAUAAAAUAUUGUCGUUGGCCACAAAUUUCAUAGCACAAGGCUAAGACCAUUUUUUCAGAAGAAAGGGACAUUUAAUCCGAAAGUUACUUGGUUGUUACAGUCUGAAUGUUAGUGUUCCCCAAUAUUAGGGUUCAUAUACUAGAAACUAAUAUCAAAAGUGAUAGUAUUAAGAAGUAGGGCCUUUGGGAAGGGAUUAAGUCAUGAUGUCUCCACCCUCAUGAGUGGGAUGAGUACCUUCAUAAGACAGGCUGAGUCUAGCUACCUUGCCCCUUCCACUGUGUGAGGACACAGCAACAAAAGUGCCACCUGUGAAGCAAGGAGUGAGCCUUCGCCAGACGCUGAAUCUACUGGGGCUGUAAUCUUGGACUUCCCAGCUUCCAGAACGAGCCCCUUGGUGACCAGGCAAAAUGACAGUUCCCUGCAGCUGGUUCUCAGAUGGGCACAUCUAUUAGCCUCUGCUCUCAGAAGAAGUUAGCUGCAGAACCCACAUGUGAAUCCUUAUAGGACUUUGGAGAAGAUCAAAUGGGAGCUUGGAUGUGGAAGCUCUUUGGAAACCAAGAAGCACUCUGUAAAUGAAAAGGACCGCUGCCAGUCCACCAACACUCUAAGUGGGGAAGUAAGAAACCUGGUGACUCCUGCUUCCCACACAAAAGCCAUGAUGAGACAGAUGCUUUCUAAGUCCGAUAUAUCUACCCACCUUCUGCUGCCACCUCUGUACCUCCUGAGUCACGUGGAAUGUGGUGCUGAGCCAAAUGAUCCUUCUUCUAGAAGCAGUGGAAUGCUGGAGGCUGCCUAUACUUUAGCCGAUUGUUAAAUUUUCAGGGAUUUUGUGAGCCAGUUUUUAAAUGCAGACGUUGUUGAAAAUUAAAUAUUAUAAACU